RNAcentral lists this ribosomal RNA (253 nucleotides) under uncultured bacterium. RNAcentral's name for it is "partial 16S ribosomal RNA". It matches the Rfam family "Bacterial small subunit ribosomal RNA", at positions 524 to 776 of the family's 1533-position model. The record is from RNAcentral.
UACGUAGGGUGCGAGCGUUAAUCGGAAUUACUGGGCGUAAAGCGUGCGCAGGCGGUUUUGUAAGCCAGAUGUGAAAGCCCCGGGCUUAACCUGGGAAUGGCAUUUGGGACUGCAAGGCUUGAGUGCGGCAGAGGAGACUGGAAUUCCUGGUGUAGCAGUGAAAAGCGUAGAUAUCAGGAGGAAUACCGAUGGCGAAGGCAGGUCUCUGGGCUGACACUGACGCUCAUGCACGAAAGCGUGGGGAGCAAACAGG